This 348-nucleotide long non-coding RNA is filed under the name Homo sapiens (human). RNAcentral's name for it is "non-protein coding lnc-PHGDH-2:1". Lineage: Eukaryota; Metazoa; Chordata; Mammalia; Primates; Hominidae. The record is from RNAcentral.
UGUGACCCUGGGCUGCUCAGCAUUCAUGUGGAAAUGAAGGAAGGAGGACUGGAUCAAUCCCAUUUGAAAGCAUCCUUCUCUGCAGCCCACACAAUCCUCCAAUGACACUGACAGAGGUGUACCCUCCUAGUGUACUGGGACCAAAAUUCGGAAGUGUCUGCAAACUUGCUUUAACCGUAUGGGAAAUAACCUCUAUCACCUGGAAUUUCCUUGGGACUUUGGAAAAUACAAGAGAAGUAUGAGACUUGGGUCUUCCCUUGGCUGUGUUUAAUUCACUCUUCUAUGGAAUACCAAUGAUUCUCACUAAGACUUUUGCCUUUUUAUAACCACAAUGUAUGCUUUAUGGAG